RNAcentral lists this ribosomal RNA (375 nucleotides) under uncultured euryarchaeote. RNAcentral's name for it is "bacterial SSU rRNA". It matches the Rfam family "Archaeal small subunit ribosomal RNA", at positions 504 to 878 of the family's 1478-position model. Lineage: Archaea; Methanobacteriati; Methanobacteriota. The record is from RNAcentral.
UUGGGUCUAAAGCGUCCGUAGCCGGUUUGGUAAAUUUCUUGUGAAAUUGUUCAGCUUAACUGAACGGCGUGCAAGAAAGACUGCCGAACUUGAGACCGGGAGAAGAUGAAGGUAUUUUGAGGGGAGCGGUAAAAUGCAAUAAUCCUCAGAGGACCACCAAUGGCGAAGGCAUUUGUCUAGAACGGGUCUGACGGUCAGGGACGAAAGCUAGGGGAGCAAAACGGAUUAGAUACCCGAGUAGUCCUAGCUGUAAACGCUGCGAGCUAGGUAGUGCAUAUUCUUCGAGGAUAUGCAGCGCCUAAGCGAAGGUGUUAAGCUCGCCGCCUGGGAAGUAUAGUCGCAAGACCGAAACUUAAAGGAAUUGGCGGGGGAGCA